Molecule: ribosomal RNA, 253 nt
Filed under: uncultured bacterium
Lineage: Bacteria
Description: partial 16S ribosomal RNA
Rfam family: Bacterial small subunit ribosomal RNA
Source: RNAcentral
UACGGAGGAUGCGAGCGUUAUCCGGAUUUAUUGGGUUUAAAGGGUGCGCAGGCGGCCUGUUAAGUCAGCGGUAAAAGCCCGGGGCUCAACCCCGGGACUGCAUUGGGAACUGCCCCGCUCGAGUGCCGGAGGGGCAGGCGGAAUUCCUAGUGUAGCGGUGAAAUGCGUAGAGAUCGGGAGGAACACCAGUGGCGAAGGCGGCCUACUGGGCUUUAACUGACGCUGAGGCACGAAAGCGUGGGUAGCAAACAGG